This 1981-nucleotide ribosomal RNA is filed under the name human oral metagenome. Its description in RNAcentral is "bacterial LSU rRNA". It matches the Rfam family "Bacterial large subunit ribosomal RNA", at positions 1 to 1977 of the family's 2925-position model. The record is from RNAcentral.
AAAAGCUAAUAAGGGCACACGGAGGAUGCCUAGGCAGCAACAGCCGAUGAAGGACGUGAUAAGCUGCGAUAAGCCGGGAGAAGAUGCACAUAAUCAUUGAUCCCCGGAUUUCCGAAUGGGUAAACCUGCAUGCCUGGAGGGCAUGCGUGAAAACGGUAAGCCUGCGAACUGAAACAUCUAAGUAGCAGGAGGAAAAGAAAGUAAAAACGAUUCCCCAAGUAGCGGCGAGCGAACAGGGAAAAGCCUAAACCGUGCCAGUGUCAAGCGGACAGCGUUGCUGGCACGGGGUUGCGGGACUUCCAUUAACGGAUUGUCAUAAUGUUUAAUCUGCAUAUGUGUAAGUGGAACCAGCUGGGAAGCUGGACCGAAGAAGGUGAAAGUCCUGUAGAACAUAAAGCGUAUGUGGAGACUGGAAGCACCCGAGUAGCGUCAGGCACGAGGAAUCUGGCGUGAAUCAGCGUGGACCAAAUCACGCAAGGCUAAAUACUGCUGUUGACCGAUAGUGAAGAGUACCGUGAGGGAAAGGUGAAAAGAACCCUGAGCAAGGGAGUGAAACAGAAUUUGAAACCGUGUGCUUACAAACGGUAGGAGCACUUUAUGUGUGACUGCGUGGAUUUUGGUUAAUCAUCCUGCGAGUUAUGGCUGGUGGCAAGGUUAAUAGACGGAGCCGAAGGGAAACCAAGUCUUAACAGGGCGACAAGUCGCCGGCCAUAGACGCGAAACCUAGUGAUCUAGGCCUGUCCAGGCUGAAGCUGAGGUAAGACUCAGUGGAGGGCCGAACUCACCGCCGUUGAAAAGUUGGGAGAUGAGAUAGGUCUAGGGGUGAAAAGCCAAUCGAACUAGGAGAUAGCUCGUUCUCUCCGAAAUGCAUUUAGGUGCAGCCUUGAACUGAGAUAUGUGGGGGUAGAGCUCUGUAUGAUCUAGGGGGCGUACUGCUUACCGAAAUCAAGCAAACUUCGAAUACCAUAUAUCAUGUUCAGGAGUGAGUCCGUGGAUGACAAGGUCCUCGGACGAGAGGGGAACAGCCCAGACCGCCAGCUAAGGUCCCUAAUUAUGUCUAAGUGGGAAAGGAGGUGGACAUUCAUAGACAACCAGGAGGUUGGCUUAGAAGCAGCCAUGCCUUGAAAGAGUGCGUAAUAGCUCACUGGUCGAGAGUGCCUGCGCCGAAGAUGUAACGGGGCUAAGACAUAAACCGAAGCUGCGGAAGAUACUACGUAUCUUGGUAGGAGAGCGUUCUGUAGGCCGUCGAAGGGAUGCCGCAAGGCCAUCCUGGAGGUAUCAGAAGCGAGAAUGCAGGAAUGAGUAGCGAGAAGGCGGGCGAGAAUCCCGCCGGCCGGAAGUCCAAGGUUUCCAGGGGAAGGCUUGUCCGCCCUGGGGAAGUCGGGACCUAAGCAUAAGCAAAAUUGUGACGGCGAAUGGAAAACAGGUUAAUAUUCCUGUACCGCUGUUAUCGCUUGAGAGACGGAGUGACGCAGGAAGGUAUGCGAGAAGGCUGACGGUUUAGCCUUUCUAAGGGCCCAGCGUGGGCGUGCAGGUAAAUCCGCACGCCUAAACGUGAGACCUGACGGGGAAGUGCAUUUGCAUAAGUCGCAGAUCCUACACUGCCAGGAAAAACUUCUAUCGAUGAGAAGCAGCGCCCGUACUGUAAACCGACACAGGUGGACAGAGUGAGAAACUUAAGGCCGACAGGAUAACUCUAGCUAAGGAACUCUGCAAAAUAGCCCCGUAACUUCGGGAGAAGGGGUGCCUGACAUACCUGAAGGAGAGAAGCGCUCCCAGGGGAAACAGGCCGCAGUGAAGAGUCUCAAGCAACUGUUUACCAAAAACACAGGUCUAUGCUAAGCUGAAAGGCGACGUAUAUGGGCUGACACCUGCCCAGUGCCGGAAGGUUAAGAGGAGGAGUGAGAGCUCCGAUUUGAAGCCCCGGUGAACGGCGGCCGUAACUAUAACGGUCCUAAGGUAGCGAAAUUCCUUGUCGGGU